This 403-nucleotide ribosomal RNA is filed under the name uncultured microorganism. RNAcentral describes it as "bacterial SSU rRNA". It matches the Rfam family "Bacterial small subunit ribosomal RNA", at positions 9 to 407 of the family's 1533-position model. The record is from RNAcentral.
GAGUUUGAUCGUGGCUCAGAUUGAACGCUGGCGGCAUGCCUUACACAUGCAAGUCGAACGGCAGCAUGAUCUAGCUUGCUAGAUUGAUGGCGAGUGGCGAACGGGUGAGUAAUACAUCGGAACGUGCCCUGUAGUGGGGGAUAACUAGUCGAAAGAUUAGCUAAUACCGCAUACGACCUGAGGGUGAAAGUGGGGGACCGCAAGGCCUCAUGCUAUAGGAGCGGCCGAUGUCUGAUUAGCUAGUUGGUGGGGUAAAGGCCCACCAAGGCGACGAUCAGUAGCUGGUCUGAGAGGACGAUCAGCCACACUGGGACUGAGACACGGCCCAGGACUCCUACGGGAGGCAGCAGUGGGGAAUUUUGGACAAUGGGCGAAAGCCUGAUCCAGCAAUGCCGCGUGUGUG